Molecule: long non-coding RNA, 1964 nt
Organism: Drosophila subpulchrella
Lineage: Eukaryota; Metazoa; Arthropoda; Insecta; Diptera; Drosophilidae
Exons: 3
Source: RefSeq, a predicted model, not a curated record
UAUUUCUAAAAACUUAAUUUCUUUGUGCACCAGCAGACUAGUCUUUUUAAAUUGCUAAAAUUGAUUUAUUUUCCGUUUGUCAACAAACCUAGCUGCUUGACAGUAAGACCAUGCUAUAUGCAUUGCGGGCGAACUAUGAAAAAUUCGGUCUCACUCCCAAGAAAACGAUUUUUCGACUAGAAAAACUCUUAGCCGAUCUGAGUACUAGGCUUAAACAACCCAGCUGAUUACUUGAAAAUAUUAGGGUGACGGACAAAAAAAGACCGAAUAUCCAGCGUCAGGACAGUUGCAUGAAAAGUCCAGCAGCUUAUGGAGGUACUCACCGCGGUGAGCUAUGAAAAUAUCAGUAAAAAUAUCAGAUUUCCGCAAAGAAUAAAAAAUGUGAUAUUAUGCUAUUCUCGUGCAAUAGCUGUAUCAAAACAAAUGUAAAUGGAAGGAAAUACCCGACAGCCAACGAAAACACGCAUGCAUAAGUCACAGGACGCAUUUGUGUGCUGUGCUUAUAAAGAGAAACUGGAAGGAGAUAUCGUAGGCUAUGGAUAAAAAUUAGUCAUGAGCAUUAGAGCAUGACGAGUGGAACCACGCUUCUAUAUGGGCUUAUUGUUCGAGAUAUGGAAAACUGAAUCGCAAAUUUCGAAUCAGGCUCCCACUCCCUCACCAUGCUUCCAAGAUGCUGCCAAGAUGAAGAAGAAGAUGACGAAGCUUCUGUGUUAAGCUUUAAGCUACUAAUUUACACUCGUCAUUUUUUAAUUGCUCCAGUCGACUUGUUUGCCGUUUGUCAACAAACACAGCUGACUGACAGUAGGACCAUGCAUGUAGUGCAUUGCGGAUGAAUUCUGAAAACUUCGGUCACACAUCAUAGAAUAAGGUUAUUUGACUGGUGCUACUGUUUUUCGAUCUGAGUACUAGGCUAUAAGGAAAAACAUCUCUUCAAAACUGCUUAGUAAUUUGAGAGCCCCUUUUCCCAAAAAGCACCAUUUCGACGUAAUUACUUAAUUACUGUAAUGUACGCCCUCUCCAUAAAUUUUGUAAUGAAGAGAUAUUCACUUAUAAAAGAACAAAGAAUCUUGCGAUACAAAGAGACUGGCGCAAAAUGCUGGUUGACUCAGAAAAGCGAGGAACACAGGUGUGGUAUGGCUAGAACAACGGCCACGAUCGACAUAUUGGUAACUUUGAACCCGACCACUAACAAAGUGCAGAAGUCCGGCGUUGACUCCCUAAAUAGGGAAUAUCAAGAAUUAGUAGUCCUAGUUAAUGCGAUCCAUACAAUUAACCAUGUAAAAGUUCUAGUCUGGUAUACAAGACCUUGGCCGAUUAUAGAAGUGAGGGCAGUGGUAUUCUAUUCUGGUAUUUUACUGCAGGGAUGCUGCCAGCUCUAAGGAAAAGCGACAUUUCCCAUGGGCUUAGGCAUCCGCCCACGGAGUCUACUGCUACCAGGAACAGCAGCUCGAAAGCAUCUUAUGUAUCGGGCACCUUCGCCAGUGUUAUCAAAGAACGGGGAUCAACCAUAAGGUCAACAUCCGACAUACUGUCACGUUUGUGGCCGCAGUACUCGUGAAAAAGAAUUAAAAACCAUAGCACAUUAUGGUUGCGGUGCUGACGAGAGAAGUGGAGUAGGUCGAGAACAAUGAUAUAACUUUCAACGGACAACCUUGACUGCCCAUUUGGCACACGAAUGUGUGAAUAUUGCCGAAACACAGCGCGAUCGUGUUAUAAUCAAGCGACUGCUGAGCUUGUAGGGCAUUGUGGACUGAUGACGGACGAACUUUACGAGUUUAAAUUUUUCAAACACUUUUAAUAUUUAUUCUCGCUAUGUUCGAGAGGAGAGAGGUCUUUCUAGAUCCCACGACCGAAAUACGACGUAGCUUAUGACGGCAACAUGGUGCCUGAACAACGGACGCUUCUCCUUCGCCCCAAGGCCUUUUCAAUACUCGAGAUCUAAUAUGCCCAAGUAACAGAAUUAG